UACGGCUCAGUAACACGUGGCCAAACUACCCUACAGACCGCGAUAACCUCGGAAACAGAGGCCAAUAGCGGAUAUAACUCUCAUGUUGGAGUGCCGAGAGUGAGAAACGUUCCGGCGCUGUAGGAUGUGGCUGCGGCCGAUUAGGUAGAUGGUGGGGUAACGGCCCACCAUGCCGAUAAUCGGUACAGGUUGUGAGAGCAAGAGCCUGGAGACGGUAUCUGAGACAAGAUACCGGGCCCUACGGGGCGCAGCAGGCGCGAAACCUUUACACUGCACGACAGUGCGAUAGGGGGACUCCGAGUGUGAGGGCAUAUAGCCCUCGCUUUUCUGAACCGUAAGGUGGUUCAGGAACAAGGACUGGGCAAGACCGGUGCCAGCCGCCGCGGUAAUACCGGCAGUCCAAGUGAUGGCCGAUAUUAUUGGGCCUAAAGCGUCCGUAGCUUGCUGUGUAAGUCCAUUGGGAAAUCGACCAGCUCAACUGGUCGGCGUCCGGUGGAAACUACACAGCUUGGGGCCGAGAGACUCAACGGGUACGUCCGGGGUAGGAGUGAAAUCCUGUAAUCCUGGACGGACCACCAAUGGGGAAACCACGUUGAGAGACCGGACCCGACAGUGAGGGACGAAAGCCAGGGUCUCGAACCGGAUUAGAUACCCGGGUAGUCCUGGCUGUAAACAAUGUUCGCUAGGUAUGUCACGCGCCUUGAGCACGUGAUGUGCCGUAGUGAAGACGAUAAGCGAGCCGCCUGGGAAGUACGUCCGCAAGGAUGAAACUUAAAGGAAUUGGCGGGGGAGCACCACAACCGGAGGAGCCUGCGGUUUAAUUGGACUCAACGCCGGA
This 838-nucleotide ribosomal RNA is filed under the name uncultured archaeon. RNAcentral's name for it is "bacterial SSU rRNA". It matches the Rfam family "Archaeal small subunit ribosomal RNA", at positions 84 to 922 of the family's 1478-position model. The record is from RNAcentral.